RNAcentral lists this ribosomal RNA (253 nucleotides) under uncultured bacterium. RNAcentral's name for it is "partial 16S ribosomal RNA". It matches the Rfam family "Bacterial small subunit ribosomal RNA", at positions 524 to 776 of the family's 1533-position model. The record is from RNAcentral. RNAcentral also lists the same sequence under 1 other name.
UACAGAGGUCCCAAGCGUUGUUCGGAUUUACUGGGCGUAAAGGGUGCGUAGGUGGUGGGGUAAGUCGGAUGUGAAAUCUCCGAGCUCAACUCGGAAAGUGCAUUGGAAACUACCCUGCUCGAGGGUUGGAGGGGGGACUGGAAUACUUGGUGUAGCAGUGAAAUGCGUAGAUAUCAAGUGGAACACCAGUGGCGAAGGCGAGUCCCUGGACAACUCCUGACACUGAGGCACGAAAGCUAGGGGAGCAAACAGG